Molecule: ribosomal RNA, 294 nt
Filed under: uncultured bacterium
Lineage: Bacteria
Description: partial 16S ribosomal RNA
Rfam family: Bacterial small subunit ribosomal RNA
Source: RNAcentral
GGAUUAGAUACCCUGGUAGUCCACACUGUAAACGCUGUCUACUAGCUGUGUGUGAAUGUAUAUUUGUGCGUAGCGCAGCCAACGCGAUAAGUAGACCGCCUGGGGAGUACGGCCGCAAGGUUAAAACUCAAAUGAAUUGACGGGGGCCCGCACAAGCGGUGGAGCAUGUGGUUUAAUUCGAUGCAACGCGAAGAACCUUACCUACACUUGACAUGCCAAGAAGUUUGAAGAGAUUCGAACGUGCCUUCGGGAGCUUGGACACAGGUGCUGCAUGGCUGUCGUCAGCUCGUGCCG